RNAcentral lists this transfer RNA (78 nucleotides) under Candidatus Omnitrophota bacterium. Its description in RNAcentral is "Candidatus Omnitrophica bacterium (sediment metagenome) tRNA-Pro". It matches the Rfam family "tRNA". From Rfam's summary of the family: Transfer RNA (tRNA) molecules are approximately 80 nucleotides in length. Their secondary structure includes four short double-helical elements and three loops (D, anti-codon, and T loops). The record is from RNAcentral. Lineage: Bacteria; Pseudomonadati; Candidatus Omnitrophota.
CGGGACGUAGCGCAGUUGGAUUAGCGCACUUGAAUGGGGUUCAAGAGGUCGUGGGUUCAAGCCCCACCGUCCCGACCA